This 1667-nucleotide long non-coding RNA is filed under the name Brassica rapa (field mustard). RNAcentral's name for it is "long non-coding RNA (BRAP_LNC005850)". The record is from RNAcentral. Lineage: Eukaryota; Viridiplantae; Streptophyta; Magnoliopsida; Brassicales; Brassicaceae.
GCUCGUCGUUUGUGAGCAUAGGGUAACCAUUGCCUACGUGGAUCUUGUCAGAGACGAUGGCUCGAGAAGAAAAGUCAACGACAAUCUCUCGAGACUUUCCGUUGUCUCGAGCGAUGACGAAAGCCUGACGUGGAGGUGGUUUGAUGUUGUGUUUCGGUGAUGAGUACCAAGACAAGACUAGAGACUUGUCGGGUUCGUUGAGACCAACGUAUUGAAAAGUAAACUUGUGGCUCGGACCAAUGGGGUACGUCUUGUUAAUGAUGGUUUGGACGAGUUUGAGUUCGGUUUCGGUUAAGGGAUCAAAUGGGUGACGCGGUGGAGCAAAGCUUGAAGAUGAGAUUGCAAAAAUGAAAGAAAAGAAGAUGAAAAUGGUGAAGUGGAGUUGAGCCAUAUUGUUCUUUGUGAACGGUUUAUUGUUUGAUUUAAUGGACUUGGUUUAUGUUUAAAUUUAUAGGCAAAUGUGUAUCCGUAAGAGGAUUUAAACUAAUAUUUUUUUGGCGCGGAAGAAAUCAAUAAACACUUAGGUUUUUAUAAGAGCAUGUUUAUUGUAGGUUUAUUAGGUUGAGUCUGUUAGCAUAAUAUAAAAUACGGUCUAAACUUCAUCUAUAAAUAACAUCUAAGUACAAGUCACUUAAGUGACUUCUCAAUUAAUAUAUAGUAGGAUAUAUGUUUUAAUCGAACCUAAGAGCAUGUUUAUUACAGGUCUUUUAGGUUGUGUCUCUUAGCGUAAUAUAAAAUACGGUCUCUUAGUUUUUAACUAAAAAAGCUAAGAGACGUAGACAUCUCUUAAAUAAUGUACGAACCGAUAACAAAAAAAAGACAAUUUUUUCCCUUUGUAAAAAGCAUUCAGAUAAUAACUAUUUAUUCCCUCAAAUUUAAACCUUUAGUUUCCAUAUAGAGCAUAGCAAGAUCUCAUCUUUAACGGUGUGUCUCCCGUUAAGUCAUAGUUGUUAAUCCUUUUUUUUUAGCAACAGUUGUUAAUCAUUAUACCUCACGACGUGUCCAUCGAUCUUGAAUCCUGGACCGUCCGGCUGCAUAAAGACGGCAUUUUGAAGCGUCGGGCCAAACGGCGGCUUAAGUUCCGAGAUACGGUACUCCGUUCCGUUAGCCUUCGGCAUAAUAACCGUUAACCUAUCCGUAAACUCCGUUACCUUCAUCACGUCAAGGUUAACGAGAAUCGUCAUUCCUUCAAUAGGUCUAAGAUACAUAUUAAUGGUCCCGUCAAGAUAAAACGGCAUCAUUCUAAUAACCCUCUCCGUCUCCGCCUCACUCUCACCAUACCAGCCAACUGUUGACGUCGUGAACACAAUCUCCGAAACGUUUAAACCACGUUUUGUGACCGAGUCAAGAAACGGCUUGAACUUGAGAACAAGCUCGGUGGCUGCUUCUUGCUCGUCGUUUGUGAGCAUAGGGUAACCAUUGCCUACGUGGAUCUUGUCAGAGACGAUGGCUCGAGAAGAAAAGUCAACGACAAUCUCUCGAGACUUUCCGUUGUCUCGAGCGAUGACGAAAGCCUGACGUGGAGGUGGUUUGAUGUUGUGUUUCGGUGAUGAGUACCAAGACAAGACUAGAGACUUGUCGGGUUCGUUGAGACCAACGUAUUGAAAAGUAAACUUGUGGCUCGGACCAAUGGGGUACGUCUUGUUAAUGAUGGUUUGGACGAGUUU